RNAcentral lists this ribosomal RNA (274 nucleotides) under uncultured bacterium. RNAcentral's name for it is "partial 16S ribosomal RNA". It matches the Rfam family "Bacterial small subunit ribosomal RNA", at positions 523 to 796 of the family's 1533-position model. The record is from RNAcentral.
AUACGGAGGGUCCAAGCGUUAUCCGGAAUCACUGGGUUUAAAGGGUGCGUAGGCGGCCUGGUAAGUCAGAGGUGAAAUACACGAGCUUAACUGGUGAAUUGCCUUUGAAACUAUCAAGCUAGAAUUAUGUUGAGGUCAGCGGAAUGAGUCAUGUAGCGGUGAAAUGCAUAGAUAUGACUUAGAACACCAAUUGCGUAGGCAGCUGGCUAGGCAUUAAUUGACGCUGAGGCACGAAAGCGUGGGGAGCGAACAGGAUUAGAAACCCUAGUAGUCC